Molecule: ribosomal RNA, 478 nt
Filed under: uncultured bacterium
Lineage: Bacteria
Description: partial 16S ribosomal RNA
Rfam family: Bacterial small subunit ribosomal RNA
Source: RNAcentral
GACGAACGCUGGCGGCGUGCUUAACACAUGCAAGUCGAACGGUAAGGCCCUUCGGGGUACACGAGUGGCGAACGGGUGAGUAACACGUGGGUGAUCUGCCCUGCACUUCGGGAUAAGCCUGGGAAACUGGGUCUAAUACCGGAUAGGACCACUGCCUGCAUGGGUGGUGGUGGAAAGCUUUUGCGGGGUGGGAUGGGCCCGCGGCCUAUCAGCUUGUUGGUGGGGUGAUGGCCUACCAAGGCGACGACGGGUAGCCGGCCUGGGAGGGUGACCGGCCACAGUGGGACUGAGAUACGGCCCAGACUCCGACGGGAGGCAGCAGUGGGGAAUAUUGAACAAUGGGCGCAAGCCUGAUGCAGCGACGCCGCGUGAGGGAUGACGGCCUUCGGGUUGUAAACCUCUUUCAGCACCGACGAAGCGCAAGUGACGGUAGGUGCAGAAGAAGGACCGGCCAACUACGUGCCAGCAGCCGCAGUAA